This 334-nucleotide long non-coding RNA is filed under the name Physcomitrium patens. Its description in RNAcentral is "long non-coding RNA (PPAT_LNC007862)". Lineage: Eukaryota; Viridiplantae; Streptophyta; Bryopsida; Funariales; Funariaceae. The record is from RNAcentral.
AAAUGAUUUUUUUAUAAUCCAUUUUUUAUCUUCUAAAAAAACAUUUAUCCUUCAAUGCUUGAGAUAAUUUUUUCCAUAAACCUCUAAAAUAUCCUAUGAUAGACCUUACAUGAUUUCUUAUCUCUAAUAUUGUAGCCAGUUCAAAUAAUUGAACCACCUCCCUUUUUGUAAAACGCUUCAACUCCAUUUCUUUUACAUAACACCUUAAAUACUUUGUAAUGUCUUUUCUUUCAAAUUGAUCAAUCUUAUCUGUAAUUGCUUGUAAUAUUUAUUUUUCCAUAUCUUCUUCGUAAUCUUUAUCAUAUUGCUAUUGCAUGAAUAAGGCAAAAGUCUC